UGGCGGCACUAGCGCGGUGGUCCCACCUGACCCCAUGCCGAACUCAGAAGUGAAACGCCGUAGCGCCGAUGGUAGUGUGGGGUCUCCCCAUGUGAGAGUAGGUAACUGCCAGGCA
This 115-nucleotide ribosomal RNA is filed under the name Klebsiella pneumoniae. Lineage: Bacteria; Pseudomonadati; Pseudomonadota; Gammaproteobacteria; Enterobacterales; Enterobacteriaceae. The record is from RNAcentral.